RNAcentral lists this non-coding RNA (206 nucleotides) under Chloroflexi bacterium HGW-Chloroflexi-1. Its description in RNAcentral is "6S RNA". It matches the Rfam family "6S / SsrS RNA". From Rfam's summary of the family: E. coli 6S RNA was the first non coding RNA to be sequenced, but its function was unknown until recently. It consists of 184 nucleotides that fold into an extended hairpin structure with a large single-stranded internal bulge. The record is from RNAcentral. Lineage: Bacteria; Bacillati; Chloroflexota.
AGUACCCUGCCGUGCCCGUGAUGCUCUCAAACGUUUUGAGCCAACAUCUGAACUAAGGGGGCUGGACCUCUCGAUUGGAAAUGCAAUAGCUGCACGUGCUACAUUCGUGUAGCCCGUGUUCCUUAGCAAAGCAGGACCAAUCGACAAGGCCCCCACCUGCGAAAGCAGGUUCAAAAUCAAUGAGCACACGACACAGCGGGGGACUC